AAAAUUCAAACAAAUAAUAAGAAUUCUUAAAGAAAUAUUAGAAGGAUCAUAAAUAUCACUCAAAUACAUCUCAAUUCAAUCUUAAUUUAAUUCUAAUUAAAAUCCUAUUGAACUUCAUUCAAACUUUAGGCCAAACCUAAUUAAAUCUUAAAUCCUAAUAAAAUCCUAAAUCCUAAAUCAAAUCCUAAACAAACCUUAAACCAAACUCUAAUUAAAUCCUAAUCAAAUCCUAAACCAAAUCCUAAACCCUAAAUCAAACCCUAACCAAAUCCUAAUCCAAAUCCUAAAUCCUAAAACAAAUCUUAAACCAAACCCUAAAUCCUAAAACAAAUCUUAAAGCAAAUCCUAAAUCCUAACCAAACUCUAAUCAAAUCCUAAUCAAAUCCUAAACCAAAUCCUAAACCCUAAAUCAAACCCUAACCAAAUCCUAAUCCAAAUCCUAAAUCCUAAAACAAAUCUUAAACCAAACCCUAAAUCCUAAAACAAAUCUUAAAGCAAAUCCUAAAUCCUAACCAAACUCUAAUCCAAAUCCUAAAUCCUAACCAAACUCUAAUCCAAAUCCUAAAUCCUAAAUCAAAUUCUAAUCCAAACCCUAAAUCCUAAACCAAACCCUAAAUCAAAUCCUAACCAAACCCUAAAUCAAAUCCUAACCAAAUCCUAAACCCUAAAUAAAAUCCUAACCAAAUCCUAAACCAAAUCCUAAUCCAAAUCCUAAAUCCUAAACCAAAUCCUAAUCAAAUCCUAAAUCCUAAAUAAAUCCUAAAAAAAUCCUAAACCAAACCCUAAACCCUAAAUCAAAUCCUAAUCCAAAUCCUAAAUCCUAAACCAAACCCUGGUAAUUCCUAUAACAGAUUUAAACCUCAAUAACUAAUGAAUGAACUGUUGAUUUUAACUCAAAUUUUUUACACUUCUAAACAAAUAAGUUAAAAACAAGUACAAAAAAAUUAAAAAGGAUCGGAGUUAUCAAAUUGAUGAUAACCUCAAAAAUGUGCUCGAAUAUUGGCCGACCUCCUUCUCCAUGUUUGAUACCAAUCUUCCAGAGCCAAUAUCUCUCUUUUUCACCAUUCGAUUGUUUUAAAAAUUCUCACAUACAUAGAAAAUUAAGUCUAAUAUCCUUUCACAUAAGUUUUACUCCAAUCCAAUUAGUAGAUUGCAAGGAAACUUAAAAACCCCCACUAGACCUAAAAUUCUACUUUCUGAGACCUUGACCCUCCUAAACCUCAAUAUUCCUCAAUUCAACCGUUAGAUCGAGCUCAAAUUCAUAACACAUAUGAAACAUAACUAUAACCAUAAACCCAAAAAAUUUCACCCAUAGAUCUAUUACAAAACUCUUGAAAUCACCCAAAACGUAAAAUCUUGUAUUAUUUCAUAAAAUCCAAGUCAUCUGAAACAAACCUUGAUUUUGCAAAGCUCUUACAAAGUCAAAAAAAAUCUAAAUCAUCCAAAAUCAAUGCCCAUAGAAACCCCAUCCAAUCUUCUAUCAAACCUCAUUCUUCGAUCUGCCAAAGAGUCCUGGAGUCGUCAUUGAGACUCGGUUUCAUGCCUCAUGGUCUGAUUUCGACCCUGGUUCAUAACCGGCCCUCUCCAAGUAUCAACAUCUAGUUUUUUUAAGUAAUUUUUACUAGAAUUCACUCUUAACUUUCUCUUGAAGAUGUCUAUAUCAUUUAUUUUUCCAAUCUAUCUUAUUUUACCUUAUUUUUGGUCCUACAAAGUAAGUAGAAGCUAUUUUUUCUAAAAGGGCAGCAUUACUACUAAAAGUUUUACUACCUUCCUAUCUUUUAUCCAUAUUUUUCUACCUUUUCUUUUAACUUGGCUCUUCUAUAAUAAGAUCUAUAUUUUUAUCUUUCACCAUAUAGUCAUGUUAAAAUACGACAAUAUAUUCUUCAAGCUCGUCAUGACUUU
Molecule: long non-coding RNA, 1902 nt
Filed under: Physcomitrium patens
Lineage: Eukaryota; Viridiplantae; Streptophyta; Bryopsida; Funariales; Funariaceae
Description: long non-coding RNA (PPAT_LNC013854)
Source: RNAcentral